Molecule: ribosomal RNA, 374 nt
Filed under: uncultured organism
Description: partial 16S ribosomal RNA
Rfam family: Bacterial small subunit ribosomal RNA
Source: RNAcentral
GUAGGUGGCAAGCGUUGUCCGGAAUUAUUGGGCGUAAAGCGCGCGCAGGCGGUCCUUUAAGUCUGAUGUGAAAGCCCACGGCUCAACCGUGGAGGGUCAUUGGAAACUGGGGGACUUGAGUACAGAAGAGGAAAGCGGAAUUCCAAGUGUGGCGGUGAAAUGCGUAGAGAUUUGGAGGAACACCAGUGGCGAAGGCGGCUUUCUGGUCUGUAACUGACGCUGAGGCGCGAAAGCGUGGGGAGCAAACAGGAUUAGAUACCCUGGUAGUCCACGCCGUAAACGAUGAGUGCUAAGUGUUAGGGGGUUUCCCGCCCCCCUUAGUGCUGCAGCUAACGCAUUAAGCACUCCGCCUGGGGAGUACGGCCGCAAGGCUG